CGCCCUCGAGACGGCCACUUCUGGGCUGAGAUUGGUUGACAUCGCGACUGCCCCGCCGCUGUGGCGGAAGCGUCUCCAGGCUUCUUCUCUCAUUGGGCGUACUUCGCGUCAAUCAAAGGAACCUCUCUGCCGCCCAUUAGUGAAGCUGGACCCAGCCCGUCCUUCUCGCCUCUCCUCCUCGGAAGGGAUUUGUUCGCUCUGGUCCUCUGUGUUCCAGUGCUGUCAGCUGCUUGUCCGCAUGAUGUACCGGGGCCUCGCCCUCCAUCCGUCUUCCAGGCCUCCACUACCCAGCCAAGUUUUGUGGAGCUCCUUUGGUAUUUAAUGUGUCUACUUGUUUAUCUCGCCUACUAGACAGUAAGGCUGGAGCCCUAACCCAACAGGACUGGCGUCCUUAAAAGCAGAGGUAAAGAUGGACAGAUUUUACCGUAUGAAAAUGAGACAUUUCUGUAUGGCAAAGACUACAUUAAGCGAAGUAAACAAGCACACAAAUUAAAAGCAUGGGAUUGGAGAUAACUAUGUUAAA
Molecule: long non-coding RNA, 523 nt
Organism: Myotis lucifugus (little brown bat)
Lineage: Eukaryota; Metazoa; Chordata; Mammalia; Chiroptera; Vespertilionidae
Exons: 2
Source: RefSeq, a predicted model, not a curated record